CUCCGGUUGAUCCUGCCGGACCCGACUGCUAUCAGAGUGGGACUAAGCCAUGCGAGUCAACAUAGCAAUAUGUGGCAUACGGCUCAGUAACACGUAGUCAACAUGCCCAGGGGACGUGGAUAACCUCGGGAAACUGAGGAUAAACCGCGAUAGGUCAUCACUUCUGGAAUGGGUAAUGACUUAAAUCUAUAUGGCCCCUGGAUUGGACUGCGGCCGAUCAGGCUGUUGGUGAGGUAAUGGCCCACCAAACCUGUAACCGGUACGGGCCUUGAGAGAGGUGGCCCGGAGAUGGACACUGAGACAAGGGUCCAGGUCCUACGGGGCGCAGCAGGCGCGAAACCUUCGCAAUGCGCGAAAGCGUGACGAGGUUAAUCCGAGUGGCUUCCGCUGAGGAAGUCUUUUGCCGACUGUAAAAAGGUCGGAGAAUAAGGGGAGGGCAAGUCUGGUGUCAGCCGCCGCGGUAAUACCAGCUCCUCGAGUGGUCGGGGCGAUUAUUGGGCCUAAAGCAUCCGUAGCCGGUUCCGUAGGUCUCCUGCAAAAUCCAGUCGCUCAACGAUUGGCCCGCAGGAGAUACCGCGGGACUAGGAGGCGGGAGAGGUGGACGGUACUCCACGUGUAGGGGUAAAAUCCUUUGAUCCGUGGAAGACCACCAGAUUGCUUGCGGUUAACGACCACAAGCACGGUGAAUGGCGAAGGCGGUUCACCAGAACGCGCUCGACGGUGAGGGAUGAAAGCUGGGGGAGCGAACCGGAUUAGAUACCCGGGUAGUCCCAGCCGUAAACGAUGCGAGCUAGAUGAUCCAGUCGCAAAUCGCGACUGGAGUGUCGCAGGGAAGCCGUUAAGCUCGCCGCCUGGGGAGUACGGUCGCAAGACUGAAACUUAAAGGAUUGGCGGGGGAGCA
Molecule: ribosomal RNA, 901 nt
Filed under: uncultured archaeon
Lineage: Archaea
Description: bacterial SSU rRNA
Rfam family: Archaeal small subunit ribosomal RNA
Source: RNAcentral